This 19-nucleotide microRNA is filed under the name Xenopus laevis (African clawed frog). RNAcentral describes it as "xla-miR-5182". Lineage: Eukaryota; Metazoa; Chordata; Amphibia; Anura; Pipidae. The record is from RNAcentral.
UAUGACAGGCUCUUUGCAU